This is a non-coding RNA of Paramuricea clavata, 73 nucleotides long. Lineage: Eukaryota; Metazoa; Cnidaria; Anthozoa; Malacalcyonacea; Plexauridae. The record is from the annotation of a GenBank genome assembly.
GACUGCGUAGCUCAGUUGGCAGAGCAUUGGGCUAGUAUUCCAAAGGUCGUAGGUUCGAAUCCCACUGUAGCCA